RNAcentral lists this ribosomal RNA (440 nucleotides) under uncultured bacterium. RNAcentral's name for it is "partial 16S ribosomal RNA". It matches the Rfam family "Bacterial small subunit ribosomal RNA", at positions 338 to 795 of the family's 1533-position model. The record is from RNAcentral.
CCUACGGGUGGCAGCAGUGGGGGAUAUUGCACAAUGGGGGAAACCCUGAUGCAGCGACGCCGCGUGAGUGAAGAAGUAUUUCGUUAUGUAAAGCUCUAUCAGCAGGGAAGAAAAUGACAGUACCUGAGCAAGAAGCCCCGGCUAACUACGUGCCAGCAGCCGCGGUAAUACGUAGGGGGCAAGCGUUAUCCGGAUUUACUGGGUGUAAAGGGAGCGUAGACGGUAAUGUAAGUCUGGAGUGAAAGCCCGGGGCUCAACCCCCGGACUGCUUUGGAAACUGUACAACUGGAGUACAGGAGGGGUAGGCGGAAUUCCUGGUGUAGCGGUGAAAUGCGUAGAUAUUAGGAGGAACACCAGCGGCGAAGGCGGCCUGCUGGACUGUAACUGACGUUGAGGCUCGAAAGCGUGGGGAGCAAACAGGAUUAGAUACCCGUGUAGUC